RNAcentral lists this ribosomal RNA (441 nucleotides) under uncultured bacterium. Its description in RNAcentral is "bacterial LSU rRNA". It matches the Rfam family "Bacterial large subunit ribosomal RNA", at positions 1641 to 2075 of the family's 2925-position model. The record is from RNAcentral.
ACCGUACUGCAAACCGACUCAGGUGGGCGGGAAGAGCAUUCCAAGGCGCGUAGCCUCAGGCGCUCGGGAAAACGCUGGUUAAGGAACUCUGCAAAUUGGCCCCGUAACUUCGGGAGAAGGGGUGCCAUCGCAAGAUGGUCUCAGCAAAGCGGCACUAGCGACUGUUUACUAAAAACACAGGUCUCUGCGAACUCGUAAGAGGAUGUAUAGAGACUGACGCCUGCCCGGUACCGGUAAGUUAAUAAAGAGGGUUAGCUCUCGGGCGAAGCCAGCAAUUGAAGCUCCGGUAAAACGGCGGCCGUAACUAUGACGGUCCUAAGGUAGCGAAAUUCCUUGUCGGGUAAGUUCCGACCUGCAUGAAUGGCGUAACGACUGGUGCACUGUCUCAACCAGCGACCCGGUGAAAAUUGUAGUCGUGGUGAAGAUGCCACGUACCCGCAG